AACAGAAGAGAUUAGACAGGAGUCCCCGUGGACUAUGAUAUUUGCUGAUGACAUUGUGAUCUGUAGCGAUAAUAGGGAACAGGUUGAGGAGACCCUGGAGAGGUAGAGAUCUGCUCUAGAGAGGAGAAGAAUGAAGGUCAGUAGGAACACCAAGACAGAAUACAUGUGUGUGAAUGAGAGGGAGGUCAGUGGAAUGGUGAGGAUGCAGGGAGUAGAGUUGGUGAAGGUGGAUGAGUUUAAAUACUUGGGAUCAACAGUACAGAGUAAAUGGGAUUGUGGAAGAGACGUGAAAAAGAGAGUGCAGGCAGGGUGGAGUGGCUGGAGAAGAGUGUCAGGAGUGAUUUGUGACAGACGGGUAUCAGCAAGAGUGAAAGGGAAGGUCUACAGGACGGUAGUGAGACCAGCUAUGUUAUAUGGUCUGGAGAUGGUGGCACUGACCAGAAAGCAGGAGACAGAGCUGGAGGUGGCAGAGUUAAAGAUGCUAAGAUUUGCAUUGGGUGUGAUGAGGAUGGAUAGGAUUAGAAAUGAGGACAUUAGAGGGUCAGCUCAGAUUGGACGGUUUGGAGACAAAGUCAGAGAGGCGAGAUUGCGUUGGUUUGGACAUGUGCAGAGGAAAGAUGCUGAGUAUAAUGAGAGAAGGGUGCUAAGGAUAGAGCUGCCAGGGAAGAGGAG
Long non-coding RNA from Erpetoichthys calabaricus (reedfish), 672 nucleotides. RefSeq lists it as uncharacterized. The transcript is spliced from 3 exons. NCBI's taxonomy places the organism in Eukaryota, Metazoa, Chordata, Cladistia, Polypteriformes, Polypteridae. The record is from RefSeq and is a predicted model, not a curated record.